ACAUGAGGCUCCCCCUCUUGGGAAGAGAUACAAGCCGGGCCCAGGGACUGAGCUGUAUAACAAGGGUGGGACUCAAGAAAGUCGACGGGGAAAAUGUGAAGAAUUCAAAUGCACACAUUUCUUCCUCCUGGCAAGAAAGCUGAGGCUAGGAGAGCCGUGAAGUGACAUCACCCUGGUAGAAGAGACAAGGGAAGUAUUUGAACUCGGAUCCCCUCAGACCCUCCAAAGGCAGAGUCCCUUUUAUUGUUCUAUAAGACAAACACAUCACACCAGGGCACCCGCUGCCCAACACAGCCACGGAGAUGCAGGAGACUCAGGAGACUCCGGGACUCCAAAGUAGUUGUGA
Non-coding RNA from Phascolarctos cinereus (koala), 346 nucleotides. NCBI's taxonomy places the organism in Eukaryota, Metazoa, Chordata, Mammalia, Diprotodontia, Phascolarctidae. The record is from RefSeq and is a predicted model, not a curated record.